GACGAACGCUGGCGGCGUGCUUAACACAUGCAAGUCGAACGGAAAGGCCCUGCUUUUGUGGGGUGCUCGAUUGGCGAACGGGUGAGUAACACGUGAGUAACCUGCCCUUGACUUUGGGAUAACUUCAGGAAACUGGGGCUAAUACCGGAUAGGAGCUCCUGCUGCAUGGUGGGGGUUGGAAAGUUUCGGCGGUUGGGGAUGGACUCGCGGCUUAUCAGCUUGUUGGUGGGGUAGUGGCUUACCAAGGCUUGGACGGGUAGCCGGCCUGAGAGGGUGACCGGCCACAUUGGGACUGAGAUACGGCCCAGACUCCUACGGGAGGCAGCAGUGGGGAAUAUUGCACAAUGGGCGGAAGCCUGAUGCAGCAACGCCGCGUGCGGGAUGACGGCCUUCGGGUUGUAAACCGCUUUCGCCUGUGACGAAGCGUGAGUGACGGUAAUGGGUAAAGAAGCACCGGCUAACUACGUG
This 468-nucleotide ribosomal RNA is filed under the name uncultured bacterium. RNAcentral's name for it is "partial 16S ribosomal RNA". It matches the Rfam family "Bacterial small subunit ribosomal RNA", at positions 28 to 507 of the family's 1533-position model. The record is from RNAcentral.